UACGGAGGAUGCGAGCGUUAUCCGGAUUUAUUGGGUUUAAAGGGAGCGCAGACGGGUCGUUAAGUCAGCUGUGAAAGUUUGGGGCUCAACCUUAAAAUUGCAGUUGAUACUGGCGUCCUUGAGUGCGGUUGAGGUGUGCGGAAUUCGUGGUGUAGCGGUGAAAUGCUUAGAUAUCACGAAGAACUCCGAUUGCGAAGGUAGCACACUAAGCCGUAACUGACGUUCAUGCUCGAAAGUGUGGGUAUCAAACAGG
This 253-nucleotide ribosomal RNA is filed under the name Phocaeicola plebeius DSM 17135. RNAcentral describes it as "partial 16S ribosomal RNA". It matches the Rfam family "Bacterial small subunit ribosomal RNA", at positions 524 to 776 of the family's 1533-position model. Lineage: Bacteria; Pseudomonadati; Bacteroidota; Bacteroidia; Bacteroidales; Bacteroidaceae. The record is from RNAcentral.